GCCUUCGUGGUGUAACGGUAACACACUCGGCAUGUAUUCGAGAGGUCCAGAUUCGAGUCCCGGCGAGGACA
RNAcentral lists this transfer RNA (71 nucleotides) under Stegodyphus mimosarum. It matches the Rfam family "tRNA". Rfam says of the family: Transfer RNA (tRNA) molecules are approximately 80 nucleotides in length. Their secondary structure includes four short double-helical elements and three loops (D, anti-codon, and T loops). Further hydrogen bonds mediate the characteristic L-shaped molecular structure. tRNAs have two regions of fundamental functional importance: the anti-codon, which is responsible for specific mRNA codon recognition, and the 3' end, to which the tRNAs corresponding amino acid is attached (by aminoacyl-tRNA synthetases). tRNAs cope with the degeneracy of the genetic code in two manners: having more than one tRNA (with a specific anti-codon) for a particular amino acid; and 'wobble' base-pairing, i.e. permitting non-standard base-pairing at the 3rd anti-codon position. The record is from Rfam by way of RNAcentral. Lineage: Eukaryota; Metazoa; Arthropoda; Arachnida; Araneae; Eresidae.